AUGUGCACAAGAUUCAUGAAGCAAAGUCGUCACAGAUGGGUGCUGGAAGCUGAGCCAACACUGGGCUACAAGGCGAGACACAGACAGCUGUGGCGGGUUCUGCUUUUAUCCACCAGACACGUGGUCCCUAUGUGGGCCGGAGGCAGUGAUGGCUUCGUCUCUGCCUGGGCACAGCUGACCACAGCAAAGGUCAGUCUUGGGGUAGGUGGCAUGCGUUGAAUAUGUGCAGACUAUGGAACAGGUUUUGUUUUUCCUGCCAGCAGAUGCUUUUUUGUGCUGUUGAAUUGCUCUGGUGGAGAGAGCCGAGGAGCAGGAGCACAUGGAAAAUGCAUGGCCAGGAUGUCAGCAAUUGCGUCACAGUUGCACUUUGCAAAGGGGUGAUCACUUUGAACAAUGCACACACAUUCACAUGACAAAUCAUUAAGACUCCAGGCUGAGGAAAUGGCAUGUGUGCUUUAUCAGAUGGCUCCCUUCCACCACAGCAUGCUAUGGACUGGAGCCCUUGACACCAACUAAACAAAUGUGGGGUGAGCUUUUAGAUUUUUAUGAGGCACUUCAGAUGUCCUUUAGAUAAUGAAGCAGUGGACUCCCCUCCAAAAAAAAAAAAGAGAUGAUUUACUCAUAUGUUUCUUGUAUCUGUCAAGAUGACUGUGGGCUUGAAGAUAGCUUGUGUCUGAAUGGGUGGGUAUUGAGAACAACAGGAGAUAUGUUAGUAAAAACUACCAAGAUUUUUAACUUGUUACAUGUGUAGUUUGAUCUGUGACAUCUGAACCUAGAAAAGGGUGACUCAGUAGUUCUUGACUUUGGCUGCAUAUUAGAAUUACCUGGGGAGCUUUGGAAAAUCCCAGUGCCUGGGCUGCACCCCACACCAAAAAACCCAGAAUUGGGGGCGGGGGGGGCAGUAUGUGUGUGUAGGACCCAGGUCUCAGUUCUUUGAAAAGUUUCCCGGGUGCUUCCCAUGUGCAGCUAAGGUUCUGAAUCACUGAUUUAAGACGAAAUUUCCUUACCUUUGCAAAAGGCACAUAGCGUUUCGGGGGAAACGGGAAUGCACUGCUGUCUCAUUUACAAAGGAAUGAAAAUGGAAGUCACCAUCUAGUGUGCCUGAUUUCCACUCUUGAUUAUCUACCUCUCUUCUAAGUUUUUUGUUCAAGUAUUGGAAAUCCUGCGCUUUAGUGCCUCUGUGGACCAGGAUGGUACCACAGAGAAGGGAAGGACCCCA
Molecule: long non-coding RNA, 1219 nt
Filed under: Sus scrofa (pig)
Lineage: Eukaryota; Metazoa; Chordata; Mammalia; Artiodactyla; Suidae
Description: lncRNA (ENSSSCG00035077607.1)
Source: RNAcentral